UACGAAGGGGGCUAGCGUUGCUCGGAAUCACUGGGCGUAAAGCGCACGUAGGCGGAUCUUCAAGUCAGGGGUGAAAUCCUGGAGCUCAACUCCAGAACUGCCUUUGAUACUGGGGAUCUCGAGUCCGGGAGAGGUGAGUGGAACUGCGAGUGUAGAGGUGAAAUUCGUAGAUAUUCGCAAGAACACCAGUGGCGAAGGCGGCUCACUGGCCCGGUACUGACGCUGAGGUGCGAAAGCGUGGGGAGCAAACAGG
This 253-nucleotide ribosomal RNA is filed under the name uncultured bacterium. RNAcentral describes it as "partial 16S ribosomal RNA". It matches the Rfam family "Bacterial small subunit ribosomal RNA", at positions 524 to 776 of the family's 1533-position model. The record is from RNAcentral.